GGUUCUAUGGUGUAAAUGUUAGCACUCUGGACUCUGAAUCUAGUGAACUGAGUUUAUAUCUCGGUAGGAACU
This 72-nucleotide transfer RNA is filed under the name Danionella translucida. It matches the Rfam family "tRNA". From Rfam's summary of the family: Transfer RNA (tRNA) molecules are approximately 80 nucleotides in length. The record is from Rfam by way of RNAcentral. Lineage: Eukaryota; Metazoa; Chordata; Actinopteri; Cypriniformes; Danionidae. RNAcentral also lists the same sequence under 1 other name.